GAAAGAUGGAACUUGAGUGGUGUGCUUCCUUCUGGCUGGGAAAAACUCAGAGGCUUCAAGGUAUAGGAUACAUGUGUCUUCCAGAGUGCUCAGGCAUUCUGUGAGAGCGUUUUAUGAUUUUCAGACUGGAAACAAAAAGGAAACGUGUGAUAAAGGCAAAGUCUCUUUUCCUCACCUGCUCUUUGUGUAUAUGACUCUUUUUUGGUCUGUGGCCAUAAGAACCUUACGCACUUAAACAAUAUAUACAUAUCCAUUUAAGUCACUGAUACUUAGAUAUGCAGAUGAGCCACUGUGCACCCCUCCUGGCUCAUCUGAGUAAUAAAUUCUGCAGUCCGCUCUUUAUGAUGGUAGGUCAUAUUCCUAACCACCAAUAAAUAUUGUAAAGUACUUUCGCUGCAGCCGUGCUAACCCAGGGCAUCUGUCAUUCCGGUCGCUGCUAUUAGGAAUUAUUGGACUGAACCACUGGUGGAGAAAGCAGAGGGGGGUGAGCCUGGUGGUUGUGACGCGUACUGCCCUUUUGUGUGUUUUGCAUAAAAAACUCCAAAUCGUGCUGCAUAUUAAUUAUGAAUCAGUGUGGGCAAACGCGGGCACCUUCUGCUGGCUGAGGCUUGGAGCAGGAGACAGGGGCUCUGAGGGCCUGGGCACCUCUCGCUCCCCGUCAGCAGAUCCAUCUUUCUGAUGCUAUACUGUAAAUUUAUUUCACCUCGGAGAGUAAACAGAUAUAUUGGAGCCCCAAGGGUUCAUGGGUAGCGUAUUUACAAAGGAGUCUCUCCGCCAGCCCGUGCCACCGCUGCUAAUGAGAGCGGUCAUUAAGUAAAUGAGACGUCGCCUUCAGCUGGCUUAGGAGUUCGCACACUAAAGGGAGAAGAUAUUUAAUUGAAACCCGCACACAGGCUUCCCCACAUGUGACCGCUGGAAGCGAGGCAGCCGCCUCGCCUCUCCUCCCGUCCAUCCGCACCCCCCAUGUAAAUUUCAUGAUUGCUUUCCGUGAUGUCAUUUUGAAAGAGGACAGACAAUAGCUGUGGGGAAAGAAAAUGAGUUCCGGGGUGAGCUUCUGAGCCAGAGGUGGACACACGGAGACAAGGCCGACAACUGUAGGACCCCGAGACUCUUCCUGGGCGGACGUGGCAAGCCUAUCUUCCCGUGGUGGCAGAGGUGGUGCAGCCAGCAGGCCGAGCAGUGCUGCCCACCGACACGUGGGCACACGGGUGCUGCGGGCCAGAGGACAUGUACAGCCGCCCUUGGAGGAGGAAAGCAGGGUAAGUCCAGUGGAGCUAGUCAGAGUUCAGAAAUCAAGGUUUACCUGCUUGCGCGUCGAUGUGGCUUCUGGUUCUUACAGCUGAUGCUCAUGUUGAAAGGCUAACCCUAGUUCUUCCUCCCUUAGUUCAGUUUUUUUUUUUUUUUUUCCCUUUUACAUCAAAACUCUGUGCACUGAGAACUUCUUACUUAUUGACCAUUUGAUGCAGAUAAAUUGCAAAUGGAAAGGUGCUCGGCAGAAUGAAUGGCACAGCUGUCAGCUCGUCGACGUGAGCUCCCAGUGUGAGAGCAGCCUGCACGCAUCCUGCAGCCCUCUCCAUUUUGUGCUCUUUGAAUAAUUUAUCUGCAGGAAAUCCAAAUUGCCAAGGCCCGCU
This is a long non-coding RNA of Bos grunniens (domestic yak), 1631 nucleotides long. Lineage: Eukaryota; Metazoa; Chordata; Mammalia; Artiodactyla; Bovidae. The record is from Ensembl.